Molecule: ribosomal RNA, 600 nt
Filed under: basidiomycete yeast sp. BG02-6-6-1-5
Lineage: Eukaryota; Fungi; Basidiomycota
Description: eukaryotic LSU rRNA
Rfam family: Eukaryotic large subunit ribosomal RNA
Source: RNAcentral
AUAUCAAUAAGCGGAGGAAAAGAAACUAACAAGGAUUCCCUUAGUAACGGCGAGUGAACCGGGAAGAGCUCAAAUUUGAAAUCUGGCAGUCUUCGAUUGUCCGAGUUGUAAUCUAUAGAAGCGUUUUCCGUGCUGAACUGUGUAUAAGUCCCUUGGAACAGGGUAUCAAAGAGGGUGACAAUCCCGUACUUUACACAAUCAUCAGUGCUCUGUGAUACGUUCUCUACGAGUCGAGUUGUUUGGGAAUGCAGCUCAAAAUGGGUGGUAAAUUCCAUCUAAAGCUAAAUAUUGGCGAGAGACCGAUAGCGAACAAGUACCGUGAGGGAAAGAUGAAAAGCACUUUGGAAAGAGAGUUAAACAGUACGUGAAAUUGUUGAAAGGGAAACGAUUGAAGUCAGUCGUGUUCAUUGGACUCAGCCGGUUUUCGGUGUAUUUCCUUUGAACGGGUCAACAUCAGUUUUGUCCGGUGGAUAAAGGUAGUAGGAAGGUGGCUCCCCCGGGAGUGUUAUAGCCUAUUGCCACAUACACUGGAGGAGACUGAGGACUGCAGCUUGCCUUUAUGGCCGGGGUUCGCCCACGUUCAAGCUUAGGAUGUUGACA